UCUAGGCCCGGUCUCUGCUGUUGUCUUUGGUUGCACCGUCAGGAUCCAGCUCGCCUCUGCCGCCGGUUCCAUCGUAGUUCUGGCCCCAGCCAUCUGUCCUUGCUGCUGCUCCCUCUGCUCCUUCUCCUGGUCCCACCUCAUCAAUUGCACUCCAUGGUUUCCUGGCUCCAGCAGAAGUUUAGCUACGCUCUUAGAAUCAUAGAAUCAUUUAGGUUGGAAAAUACCUUCAAGAUCAUCGAGUCCAACCAUAAAGUCCAACCUCUUGUCAAGAUUGCCUUAAUUACAUCACCUGGCUUCUGCCUCCACCCAGACUCCAGCCCGGGGCCUCACUACGAGGCUUGCAACGCCCAUGUCCCGUCAUAACAGUCUACGCGGACAGCUGCAGACAGACGGCAGCUUGUUUCGCUAGUGCUCCAAGCUGGGCAGAAACAAGCUAGCUUUGGUCUAGGAGCUGUACACCUACAUUACCUGAAAGGAAGAGCUCUUUUAUUUCCAGACAAGGUACACAGCAGCUUGGAGCACAGACAAACCGAAUCCAUCUCUGUCUAUGCUUGCUCAGUUAGACAUACUGUGUAAACCUAUACUAACUUUCAGGGUACCGAGGAAAUUUAAAUACUGAAAAGAGACAGACUGUGCAGAUGUCUCAAAUGUUUGCCCAGACAUUGAGCAGCAUCCCUCGUGACACACAGGUAGACAGAAAUCUACCGUGUGGGUCAGAGGGGACCAAGGCAGAAAGAUUUCUACUGAACUUUCUAAAAGCUGGUUUUAGCUUACCUGAGAACAUUAUCUAUGUCCACCAUGACACUCGGGUGAAGCAUAGCAACUGUAUUUCAUUACAUUUGGGUAUCGACCAAAUUCUAGUCUCAAGCACACUUCUGUGAAUUAGGUAUCUCUGUUUCAGUAGAGUUAGUCUGGACUUUCUCAGAAUAUGUAUUUCUACAAGUGAAACCCAAAUCCUAUACCUAAAGUACUAAAAUUUGAAGUUCGGACCUUUAUCCAGUGUACUUGCAAUAAAUUUAUACCAGCUGAUGAUAUGAUCCUCUGUAACUUCCAUGCCAGCAGAUGAAACAUCAAGAGAUACAGAAGCCAGAAAGAUGUGCUUGAGCUACCUUAAAACUAACUAGCUUGGCUACUGGUAGUAGUGUACCCAGAGUUGCAUAAAGCUCAAGUGUAAACUAAGUUAGGCUAGAUUUAAGUUGGACUACCAGAAUUUUGCAGCUUAGGCUGAGCUCUGUGCUUGCAUAGCUUGUACCCAAGCUGGGCAACACAAACCUAACAAAGCCACUGUACACUGGAAUCAUUAAAGCAAAUAUUGAAUCUAAAUGGUGCCUAUUUUAUGGCAGUUUUAAAAGCAGCUGAAGCAUUUAUUAACUUAUAAAUUGUUUCUAAUACCCUAGUACCUCAAUGGGACCACUCAUAAAUGCUGUACAAUGUGAACAACAGUGGCAGGAUCUGACCACAAACGCUUUCAGGCAUGUGAGAGAGACAGAGAUUUUUGUGCUUUUGUUUCUAGGUAACUGCCUGGUUUUGUUUAACUGUGUUCUGAUUAUGGUAUGGAGCUCAUUUAACACUGUAUGGGCAAAUGGCAUGCUUUAUGUUAUAUUUAGCUUUAUCUCUCUAUGUAUGAGGACCACGUGGGGUAAAUGCUUCUUUGAGGCCCGACCCUCAUCUCCUUCCUAAAGCUGAAGUGUGAAUCUGUGGGAAUGUUAUAUAACAGGGGAAUGCGAUUCCAGAUCUGCUAUAAUAUGUUUAACCUGAAUAAAUAGGCUGGAAAUUGUCUGUGUGUUGUAUAACCCCAUCAUAAGUUAACAUACAAUUAAAUUUCAGAUUUUGGAACUUAUACUGGAAAUCAUUUACUUGCGUAAAUAACUCCAGUGGGAUUCAGUGGGAUAUUAGUGGGAGCUAAUACAAACUCACUAAAACAAGUAGGAGUUCCUAAAUCAAGCCUUGACUGUUUUAAAUAAAAAUGAAUUAAUGCA
Molecule: long non-coding RNA, 1979 nt
Organism: Harpia harpyja (harpy eagle)
Lineage: Eukaryota; Metazoa; Chordata; Aves; Accipitriformes; Accipitridae
Exons: 2
Source: RefSeq, a predicted model, not a curated record